This 279-nucleotide ribosomal RNA is filed under the name Nedyus quadrimaculatus. RNAcentral describes it as "partial 18S ribosomal RNA". It matches the Rfam family "Eukaryotic small subunit ribosomal RNA", at positions 114 to 373 of the family's 1831-position model. Lineage: Eukaryota; Metazoa; Arthropoda; Insecta; Coleoptera; Curculionidae. The record is from RNAcentral.
GGUUCCUUAGAUCGUACCCACAAUUACUUGGAUAAYUGUGGUAAUUCUAGAGCUAAUACAUGCAAACAGAGCUCCGACCGGAGACGGAAGGAGUGCUUUUAUUAGAUCAAAACCAAUCGGUGGCGAGUUCGCUCGUCAUCGUACAAAUUGGUGACUCUGAAUAACUUUACGCUGAUCGCACGGUCAUCGCACCGGCGACGCAUCUUUCAAAUGUCUGCCUUAUCAACUGUCGAUGGUAGGUUCUGCGCCUACCAUGGUUGUAACGGGUAACGGGGAAUC